This is a long non-coding RNA of Phalaenopsis equestris, 323 nucleotides long. RefSeq lists it as uncharacterized. The record is from RefSeq and is a predicted model, not a curated record. NCBI's taxonomy places the organism in Eukaryota, Viridiplantae, Streptophyta, Magnoliopsida, Asparagales, Orchidaceae. The transcript is spliced from 2 exons.
CCUGCUAAAUAUGCAAUAACCCACUCCAUGCUAAGGGAGCUGAAGCAGCGCCACUGAUGUUUUUAGUCAUGGAGAGGCUCUAACCUCUAUAUAUAUAUAAUCUUGCUGCUGUACUAAUUUCUCAUUAGACUCUUAGCUGCCAAAGAGAUUUCUAAUAAAUAAUCACUCAUUGGCCUAUCGCAAAUAUUGAGUUUUAUGGCCAAUUUUUGGUCUUAGAUUUGUUGAUUUCUUCCUUUUUAUUGGUGUUUUUUGGGAGGCAAAUUUUUUAUCAAAUUAUGUAAAGAGCAGAUUAUUGAAAAAAUGUAAAGCUUCAUUUCAUCUCA